AGCAAUCCUGGUGGCGAGUGGCGAACGGGUGAGUAAUAUAUCGGAACGUGCCCAGUCGUGGGGGAUAACGCAGCGAAAGCUGUGCUAAUACCGCAUACGAUCUCUGGAUGAAAGCGGGGGACUCGCAAGGGCCUCGCGCGAUUGGAGCGGCCGAUAUCAGAUUAGCUAGUUGGUGGGGUAAAAGCCCACCAAGGCGACGAUCUGUAGCUGGUCUGAGAGGACGACCAGCCACACUGGAACUGAGACACGGUCCAGACUCCUACGGGAGGCAGCAGUGGGGAAUUUUGGACAAUGGGCGCAAGCCUGAUCCAGCAAUGCCGCGUGCAGGAUGAAGGCCUUCGGGUUGUAAACUGCUUUUGUACGGAACGAAAAGGUCUGCCUUAAUACGGUGGGCUCAUGACGGUACCGUAAGAAUAAGCACCGGCUAACUACGUGCCAGCAGCCGCGGUAAUACGUAGGGUGCGAGCGUUAAUCGGAAUUACUGGGCGUAAAGCGUGCGCAGGCGGUUAUAUAAGACAGAUGUGAAAUCCCCGGGCUCAACCUGGGACCUGCAUUUGUGACUGUAUAGCUAGAGUACGGUAGAGGGGG
This 588-nucleotide ribosomal RNA is filed under the name uncultured bacterium. Its description in RNAcentral is "bacterial SSU rRNA". It matches the Rfam family "Bacterial small subunit ribosomal RNA", at positions 78 to 660 of the family's 1533-position model. The record is from RNAcentral.